CCUACGGGGGGCAGCAGUGGGGAAUAUUGGACAAUGGGCGAAAGCCUGAUCCAGCAAUGCCGCGUGAGUGAUGAAGGCCUUCGGGUCGUAAAGCUCUUUUACCAGGGAUGAUAAUGACAGUACCUGGAGAAUAAGCUCCGGCUAACUCCGUGCCAGCAGCCGCGGUAAUACGGAGGGAGCUAGCGUUGUUCGGAAUUACUGGGCGUAAAGAGUACGUAGGCGGUUAUUCAAGUCAGAGGUGAAAGCCCGGGGCUCAACCCCGGAACUGCCUUUGAAACUAGAUAACUAGAGUCUUGGAGAGGUUAGUGGAAUUCCGAGUGUAGAGGUGAAAUUCGUAGAUAUUCGGAAGAACACCAGUGGCGAAGGCGACUAACUGGACAAGUACUGACGCUGAGGUACGAAAGCGUGGGGAGCAAACAGGAUUAGAUACCCUGGUAGUCCACGCCGUAAACGAUGAUAACUAGUUGUUCGGUCACUUGGUGACUGAGUGACGCAGCUAACGCAUUAAGUUAUCCGCCUGGGGAGUACGGUCGCAAGNUUAAAACUCAAAGGAAUUGACGG
RNAcentral lists this ribosomal RNA (561 nucleotides) under uncultured bacterium. Its description in RNAcentral is "bacterial SSU rRNA". It matches the Rfam family "Bacterial small subunit ribosomal RNA", at positions 338 to 916 of the family's 1533-position model. The record is from RNAcentral.